RNAcentral lists this non-coding RNA (457 nucleotides) under Gorilla gorilla gorilla (western lowland gorilla). RNAcentral's name for it is "Eukaryotic large subunit ribosomal RNA". It matches the Rfam family "Eukaryotic large subunit ribosomal RNA", at positions 3022 to 3399 of the family's 3401-position model. Lineage: Eukaryota; Metazoa; Chordata; Mammalia; Primates; Hominidae. The record is from Rfam by way of RNAcentral.
AGCUUUCUCAAUUAAAAGUCUAGUGUUGUGACUGCUUAAAAAAUCAGAUCCCACUGGCUGAGGAGCCAAUGGGGCGAAGCUACCAUCUGUGGGAUUAUGACUGAACUCCUCUAAGUCAGAAUCCCGCCCAGGCGGAACGAUAUGGCAGCUCCUCGGCCGGCCUCGGUCGGCCUCGGUCGGCCUCGGAUACCUCGGAUACUUCGGAUAGCCGGUCCCCGCCGGCGAGCCGCCCCGCCCCGCGCCGGGACCAGGGUCCGGUGCGGAGUGCCCUUUGUCCUGGGAAACGGGGCGCGGCCGGAAAGGCGGCCGCCCUCUCGCCCGUCACGCAACGCACGUUCGUGGGGAACCUGGAGCUAAACCAUUCGUAGACGACCUGCUUCUGGGUCGGGGUUUGGUAGGUAGCAGAGCAGCUCCCUCGCUGCGAUCUAUUGAAAGUCAGCCCUCCACACAAGGGUUU